AAAAUCCGUCGUAUAAUCCGAAGACGUGAUGUGGAGCGAAAUAAAGUAGCAAAGCGUGUGAGCCAUGUGCCGAGAAAAGCUGCUAUUGUGUAAUGCGUGCCCGUACCGUAAACCGACACAGGUGGAUGAGGAGAGAAUCCUAAGGCCGACGGAAGAAGCAUUGUUAAGGAAUUCGGCAAAAUGACCCCGUAACUUCGGGAGAAGGGGUGCCUGCGAGAGCAGGCCGCAGAGAAUAGGCUCAAGCAACUGUUUAGCAAAAACACAGGUCUAUGCGAAACCGAAAGGUGAAGUAUAUGGGCUGACGCCUGCCCGGUGCUGGAAGGUUAAGAGGAGAGGUUAGCGUAAGCGAAGCUUUGAAUUUAAGCCCCAGUAAACGGCGGCCGUAACCAUAACGGUCCUAAGGUAGCGAAAUUCCUUGUCGGGUAAGUUCCGACCCGCACGAAAGGCGUAAUGAUUUGAGCACUGUCUCGACAAUGCAUCCGGUGAAAUUGAAGUACCAGUGAAGAUGCUGGUUACCCGCGCCAGGACGGAAAGACCCCAUGGAGCUUUACUCCAGUUUGAUACUGGGAUUCGGUACUGCAUGUACAGGAUAGGUGGGAGACGAAGAAGGAUGGACGCCAGUCUGUCCGGAGUCGCUGUUGGGAUACCACCCCUGUAGUACUGGGUUUCUAACCAGUUGCCAUGAACUGGCAAUGGGACAAUGUCAGGCGGGGAGUUUGACUGGGGCGGUCGCCUCCGAAAGGGUAUCGGAGGCGCUCAAAGGUUCCCUCAGAAUGGUUGGAAACCAUUUGAAGAGUGCAAAGGCAGAAGGGAGCUUAAUUGCGACACCGACGGGUGGAGCAGGUACGAAAGUAGGACUUAGUGAUCCGGUGGUAUAAAGUGGGAUUGCCAUCGCUCAACGGAUAAAAGCUACCCUGGGAUAACAGGCUUAUCACUCCCAAGAGUUCACAUCGACGGAGUGGUUUGGCACCUCGAUGUCGGCUCAUCGCAUCCUGGGGCUGUAGCAGGUCCCAGGGUUGGGCUGUUCGCCCAUUAAAGCGGUACGCGAGCUGGGUUCAGAACGUCGUGAGACAGUUCGGUCCCUAUCCGGCGCGGGCGGAGGAUAUUUGAGAGGAGCUGUCCUUAGUACGAGAGGACCGGGAUGGACGGACCACUGGUGUAUCUGUUGUCGACCAACGGCAUGGCAGAGUAGCCAAGUCUGGAAGGGAUAAACGCUGAAGGCAUCUAAGCGUGAAGCCCCCCUCAAGAUGAGAUAUCCCUCCUUCGGGAGUAAGACCCCUUGAAGACUACAAGGUAGAUAGGGCAGAGGUGGAAGCAUGGCAACAUGUGGAGCUGACUGUUACUAAUAGGUCGAGGGCUUAAU
Molecule: ribosomal RNA, 1363 nt
Filed under: metagenome
Description: bacterial LSU rRNA
Rfam family: Bacterial large subunit ribosomal RNA
Source: RNAcentral